This 885-nucleotide ribosomal RNA is filed under the name uncultured archaeon. RNAcentral's name for it is "bacterial SSU rRNA". It matches the Rfam family "Archaeal small subunit ribosomal RNA", at positions 27 to 922 of the family's 1478-position model. The record is from RNAcentral.
GCGCACCUGGGAUGAACUAGCAUGCGAGUCAUUGUAGUAAUACAAGGCAGACGGCUCAGUAACGCGUAGUCAAUCUACCCUAUAGACGAGAAUAACCUCGGGAAACUGAGAAUAAUACUCGAUAGAACACUAUGCCUGGAAUGGUUUGUGUUUGAAAUGAUUUAUCGCCGUAGGAUGGGACUGCGGCCUAUCAGUUUGUUGGUGAGGUAAUGGCCCACCAAGACUAUUACAGGUACGGGCUCUGAGAGGAGUGGCCCGGAGAUGGGUACUGAGACACGGACCCAGGCCCUAUGGGGCGCAGCAGGCGAGAAAACUUUGCAAUGUGCGAAAGCACGACAAGGUUAAUCCGAGUGGUUUCUGCUAAAGAAACCUUUUGUUAGUCCUAGAAACACUGAUGAAUAAGGGGUGGGCAAGUUCUGGUGUCAGCCGCCGCGGUAAAACCAGCACCUCAAGUGGUCAGGAUGAUUAUUGGGCCUAAAGCAUCCGUAGCCGGCUAUGUAAGUUUUCGGUUAAAUCUGUGCGCUUAACGUACAGGCUGCCGGGAAUACUGCAUAGCUAGGAAGUGGGAGAGGUAGACGGUACUCGGUAGGAAGGGGUAAAAUCCUUUGAUCUAUUGAUGACCACCUGUGGCGAAGGCGGUCUACCAGAACACGUCCGACGGUGAGGGAUGAAAGCUGGGGGAGCAAACCGGAUUAGAUACCCGGGUAGUCCCAGCUGUAAACUAUGCAAACUCAGUGAUGCAUUGGCUUGUGGCCAAUGCAGUGCUGCAGGGAAGCCGUUAAGUUUGCCGCCUGGGAAGUACGUACGCAAGUAUGAAACUUAAAGGAAUUGGCGGGGAGCACCACAAGGGGUGAAGCCUGCGGUUCAAUUGGAGUCAACGCCGGA